GAUUAUUGGGCGUAAGCGCGCGCAGGCGGUUUCUUACGUCUGAUGUGAAAGACCCCGGCUCAACCGGGGAUGGUCAUUGGAUACUGGGGAACUUGAGUGCAGAAGAGAAGACUGGAAUUCCACGUGUAGCGGUGAAAUGCGUAGAUAUGUGGAGGAACACCAGAUGGCGAAGGCGACUCUUUGGUCUGUAACUGACGCUGAGGCGCGAAAGCGUGGGGAGCAAACAGGAUUAGAUACCCUGGUAGUCCACGCCGUAAACGAUGAGUGCUAAGUGUUAGAGGAUUUCCGCCCUUU
This 294-nucleotide ribosomal RNA is filed under the name Cytobacillus firmus. RNAcentral's name for it is "Bacillus firmus partial 16S ribosomal RNA". It matches the Rfam family "Bacterial small subunit ribosomal RNA", at positions 550 to 841 of the family's 1533-position model. Lineage: Bacteria; Bacillati; Bacillota; Bacilli; Caryophanales; Bacillaceae. The record is from RNAcentral.